GAUGAACGCUAGCGAUAGGCCUAACACAUGCAAGUCGAGGGGCAUCACAUGAAGUAGCAAUACGGAUGGUGGCGACCGGCGCACGGGUGAGUAACACGUAUGCAACCUGCCUUCAACAAGGGGAUAACCCGUUGAAAGACGGACUAAUACCCUAUAACACAGGGGUCCCGCAUGGGAAUAUUUGUUAAAGGACAACCGGUUGAAGAUGGGCAUGCGUUCCAUUAGCUAGUUGGCGGGGUAACGGCCCACCAAGGCAACGAUGGAUAGGGGAACUGAGAGGUUUAUCCCCCACACUGGUACUGAGACACGGACCAGACUCCUACGGGAGGCAGCAGUGAGGAAUAUUGGUCAAUGGACGCAAGUCUGAACCAGCCACGUCGCGUGAGUGAUGAAGGCCUUAGGGUUGUAAACUUCUUUAUACGGGAAUAAAGUGCCCCACGCGUGGGGUUUUGCAUGUACCGUAUGAAUAAGGAUCGGCUAACUCCGUGCCAGCAGCCGCGGU
This 502-nucleotide ribosomal RNA is filed under the name uncultured bacterium. RNAcentral's name for it is "bacterial SSU rRNA". It matches the Rfam family "Bacterial small subunit ribosomal RNA", at positions 28 to 521 of the family's 1533-position model. The record is from RNAcentral.